AUCCAGCUGACGAGUCAAAAUAGGACGAAACGCGCGUCCUGGAU
Molecule: non-coding RNA, 44 nt
Filed under: Schistosoma mansoni
Lineage: Eukaryota; Metazoa; Platyhelminthes; Trematoda; Strigeidida; Schistosomatidae
Source: RNAcentral